Molecule: long non-coding RNA, 520 nt
Organism: Gossypium arboreum
Lineage: Eukaryota; Viridiplantae; Streptophyta; Magnoliopsida; Malvales; Malvaceae
Exons: 2
Source: RefSeq, a predicted model, not a curated record
AAGACCGUGGCUACUUAAGCUAAAGUAGGUAGAUAUUAUUUUUCUCUUUUGUUUCCUCUUUACGCUCCCUUCUACUCCGAUGAAGGGAGCUUUGAGGUAUAGCGAAUCUCAAAUAAUGCAUUUUAUAACUUACAGCUUCUCUCUCAAGUUUUAAAAUGGGUGAAGAGAAAACUCGCACCAACAUUGUAGUCAUUAAUCAUGUCGACUCGGGAAAUCCACCACCUUUGGUCAUUUGAUCUACAAGCUUGGAGGCAUCUACAAGCGUGCGAUUGAGAGGUUUGAGAAAGAAGCUACUGAGAUGAACAAAAGGCCCUUCAAGUAUGCAUGGGUGCUUGGCAAGCUUAAGGCAGAGCAUGAACGUGGUAUUACCAUUGAUAUUGCUCUGUGGAAGUUAGACCACUGAAUACUACUGCACUAUUGUUGGAGCUCUCGUAACACCAAUAUUUUCUGUAAGACACUAGUACUGUUCCAAGAUCGAACAUAGUGAAAUAUAAUCUAUGUAUUUUCACAUCUUUUCCAA